GAAAACUUAUGUGGUUACACGAGUCAUUUUAUUCCUGGGCCUCUUGCAAGUGCUAGCAGCCGAGUUGUAACGAGAAGGAAGUUAAGCAAUUCGGACAGGAAACUAAUUGGCCGAUAGGACAUUGCUGACAACUGGCAGGGACUCUGCCUUUUGAAGAUGUACUCGACGGUGGGAGAGCUGAGCCUGUGAUCGAUCUGGAUAAGUCUACAACCCUCUGCACCUUUUUCCAUUAUGCGCAUUGGAUCCUCCAUACCAGCAGAACGACAGCCCUCCAUUUCAGGCAACAAUUGAUGAAGACACAAGAGACUGCAGAUGCUGGAAUCUGGAGUAGCAAAUAGUCUGAUCAGCGGCUCGAGCAGCAUUCAUGGGAGGAAAGGAAUUGUCAACAUUUUGGGUGGAAACACUGCAUCUAGAUCGUGAACAUCUGUGGAACCUUCUACUGGUGUGGACACUGAAAAGUGAUGUCAUGCUCUGUGACUAUCAACACGCAGCAAGAGUUAUCCUAAAGCUACAGGAUGUUCCUUCCUCUGCUGGGAAUGUGUCUCCUGUGUUGCAACAUCUGAAUGAGCCAGGAUCCAGGGGGCCCAGUGUGGUGAACUACAUAUACCUGUCAGGACACGCCCCCCCCCCCUCCCGCUGACUGCUCCUGUGGCUCCUCCCACUGACCCCUGUAUAAUGGUGAUUGGAGCCACAGACCCUUCCUCAGUCUCCAAGAUGUUCUGUGAUGGUCACUUGCUGCUUGUGCUUUCUUCCAGCCAA
Hypanus sabinus (Atlantic stingray) is the source of this 759-nucleotide long non-coding RNA. RefSeq lists it as uncharacterized. NCBI's taxonomy places the organism in Eukaryota, Metazoa, Chordata, Chondrichthyes, Myliobatiformes, Dasyatidae. The transcript has 4 exons. The record is from RefSeq and is a predicted model, not a curated record.